GAAAUCCUUAAAGAUGAUAAGAUUUCCAAAUUUAUUCAGCCUACAUCAGUGGAAUUUAGAAAGCAGACAGAGCAUCAGAGCGAAAGACAGAAUGAGGAAAUCAAGAUAAAAUCUACCAGCAGUUCACCAAGCGAGGUAAAAGAAUUUGAUAUUAAUUCGGAGUCCCAAUUAACUAGAAGACAUUUAUAAAAACUUAUGA
Molecule: long non-coding RNA, 199 nt
Filed under: Chinchilla lanigera (long-tailed chinchilla)
Lineage: Eukaryota; Metazoa; Chordata; Mammalia; Rodentia; Chinchillidae
Description: lncRNA (ENSCLAG00000027857.1)
Source: RNAcentral